UAUUUGCUUGGAGAAAGACUGGGAUAUGAGCCAAGAGGAAGCAGCAGUACCUGAAAUACACACUUCCAGGAUAAGCCUUCCUCGUCUUUCCUUCUAAAUCUUUACUCCAAAGCAUUUGGUUUAAGCCAGACAAGUUUACGGUUUUGCUGCAUUUCAGGGUGACAGCGCCCUCCCUCCUGCACGUGACGGGCCCGACAGCCGCGGUCUGCCGACACCGGGGGUGGUUUCCCCUCUCUGCUGUUGAUCUUGGGCUUGUGUUGCACAGACACUAGAGAGCCUGCCAGCGCCAGACGUGGAGAGCCUGCACACAUGCUCCUUACCAGGAGAUACAGACAAAUUUAUCAGGACUCCUGUUAACAAUGUGGGAAAAGACCUGAAAUAGAUUAAUCUUUGGGAUGCCGUGCGCAGCGGUAGAGCAUGUGAACCGUAUACAGAGGCCUCAGUCCUCGAUACAGCCGUCCCAGGUUUGAGUCCUGACCCUGGAGACCUAUGCUGCCUGCCGUCCCCCUCUCUCCACCCCACUUCCUGUCUGCCGAUUUUGAAAAAAUAACAAAAAUAAAGGCCAUUAGUGCCGCAAAAAGAUCCUUUAUUAAAAGAAAAUUAUUGUUUUUAACAAAAUCACUUGUAACCCAUGUUUUCGUACCUUUGCUGUCAAUGCUAUGUACACCCCCCCUACCCCCCGUAGUUUUCUCCUACAACAUUUCAGAAGGUUGGAACACAUAUAUACGGCGAUAUUUAAUCUUUGUAGCCUCUCUCUAGGUCAUCCAGAGUCCUGGUUCCACUUUUAUAUCCCCCUCUGUUCCACUCACCCCACCGGUCUUCUACAUUAGUUAAAUGGGGAGAUUGAGAUGGCCAUGGAAGAAGGUUAAGUUUGGGUCUGGGGAUCCAUUUCUGUGUUAAUUUAAGAUAAAAUAUGUAAUUCCUGACUAAAUAAAUAGCAGUUCAUGCAGUUGCAGCAGGUUAUGACCCUCUGUCUAUGUCAGGGAUCCACAACCUGCAUGCUCUAGAGCCCCGCAUGGCUCUUUAGGCUCUUCAAAGUGGCUCUUAAUAACUUUGGUCAAAAAAGAUAUAGAUAUUAAUAUUAAUAUAACCAUAGAAUAAACAUAUUUUUUUGUAGUAGGUAUUUAUAAAACCUUAUUAGCAUCUUUUUUAUGCAGGUCUAGACUUUUAUUUGAUACAAGCAAGGGAAAAUAUGACUGUAUAUGCUGUAAAGGACCUAUACCUCUGGUAUAGGUCCUUUAAGUGAAGCUUUUUGUAGUUUUUUUUUCUACUUUCUACUGCUGUAAAAAGAAGUCAUAAUAACGUGAGUUUGUUGGAAAAGUAAGUAAAUGCUCAGAAUGGUGGAAGUUAAGUCAACCAUGCUGUAUAAAUGUACUUUACUUGAUUUGGUGAAUCAGCUGAUAAUGAGUCCAUCGGGCUAACUAGGAAAGAACAGGAACAUACAAUCUCCAGUGCUCCUGCACAGCUGACACAAAAUCCAAAGGUUUACUCCCGUUCUUGAGUGGACUGCCGAGCUGCAGUCGAUCCGGUGGGUUGAUAUAGCUAUGGAGGUUAUUCAGCUGAAGUAAAUGGCACCAAAUUUGACAACAGUCUCUUAAGAAAUUCUAGACUCUUAAUAUUGGUUAACAUUGUCUUUCGUCCCACUGAUACGUAGAUUUUAUUGAGUUGUUUUAAACAGCUGAAGUCAGCUGAAACAGACAGAAAUCCCAAAUCACCCAUUAAUAGUGGGUAUGAGAUGUAUUCACCCUUUGUUUCACAUCAAACUCUGUGUUUGUUAAACUUCACAUAUUGAUGUUUGAGAUGGCAGGACAGAAAAUCCUUUUUUUGUAGUCACUUUUACAGAAAUUAUUAAAAGUUGCUACAAGUUUUGUUCAAAAAUAAAGCAUACAUUUUAAAAACA
Long non-coding RNA from Girardinichthys multiradiatus, 1900 nucleotides. RefSeq lists it as uncharacterized. The transcript is spliced from 2 exons. Lineage: Eukaryota; Metazoa; Chordata; Actinopteri; Cyprinodontiformes; Goodeidae. The record is from RefSeq and is a predicted model, not a curated record.